CAGUCGCCGCUGUAAUACGUAGGGUGCAAGCGUUAAUCGGGAUCACUGGGCGUAAAGCGUGCGCAGGCGGUUCUAUAAGACAGAUGUGAAAUCCCCGGGCUCAACCUGGGAACUGCAUUUGUGACUGUAGAGCUGGAGUGCGGCAGAGGGGGAUGGAAUUCCGCGUGUAGCAGUGAAAUGCGUAGAUAUGCGGAGGAACACCGAUGGCGAAGGCAAUCCCCUGGGCCUGCACUGACGCUCAUGGACGAAAGCGUGGGGAGCAAACAGGAUUAGAUACCCCUGUAGUCCCUGUCUCUUAUAC
This 301-nucleotide ribosomal RNA is filed under the name uncultured bacterium. RNAcentral's name for it is "partial 16S ribosomal RNA". It matches the Rfam family "Bacterial small subunit ribosomal RNA", at positions 509 to 807 of the family's 1533-position model. The record is from RNAcentral.